This 242-nucleotide long non-coding RNA is filed under the name Octopus vulgaris (common octopus). The record is from RNAcentral. Lineage: Eukaryota; Metazoa; Mollusca; Cephalopoda; Octopoda; Octopodidae.
GCUGGUGGCUGUGAUAAAAGGGAAGACUAGUGUUACGAAAGGAAUACAUCUCACAAAGGGACUCAUGUGAUGUGGAUAUAGGUGUUGUUGGAUGAGGCUAUGGCUGCUGCAGAAUUCCAGGGUACAGAUGCUGCCGCCGCCGCUGCUCACUGGCAGGAAAGAUGCCAUACUUUGGAGGCAUCCCUGGAAAAAUUUCGUUUGCAAACGCUUAGGAUACGGGAAGCAUUGGGAGAGCAGGUGAG